Molecule: non-coding RNA, 31 nt
Filed under: Mus musculus (house mouse)
Lineage: Eukaryota; Metazoa; Chordata; Mammalia; Rodentia; Muridae
Source: RNAcentral
UAACAGUCUUUUCUCCACUGCCAGGGUGAUA